UGAAGGGCGUGCUAAUCUGCGAUAAGCGCCGGUAAGGUGAUAUGAACCGUUAUAACCGGCGAUACCCGAAUGGGGAAACCCAGUGUGACUCGUCACACUAUCAUUAACUGAAUCCAUAGGUUAAUGAGGCGAACCGGGGGAACUGAAACAUCUAAGUACCCCGAGGAAAAGAAAUCAACCGAGAUUCCCCCAGUAGCGGCGAGCGAACGGGGAGGAGCCCAGAGCCUGAAUCAGCAUGUGUGUUAGUGGAAGCGUCUGGAAAGGCGCGCGAUACAGGGUGACAGCCCCGUACACAAAAGCGCAUGUGCUGUGAGCUCGAUGAGUAGGGCGGGACACGUGGUAUCCUGUCUGAAUAUGGGGGGACCAUCCUCCAAGGCUAAAUACUCCUGACUGACCGAUAGUGAACCAGUACCGUGAGGGAAAGGCGAAAAGAACCCCGGCGAGGGGAGUGAAAAAGAACCUGAAACCGUGUACGUACAAGCAGUGGGAGCACAGGUUUACCUGUGUGACUGCGUACCUUUUGUAUAAUGGGUCAGCGACUUAUAUUCUGUAGCAAGGUUAACCGAAUAGGGGAGCCGGAGGGAAACCGAGUCUUAAUUGGGCGUUAAGUUGCAGGGUAUAGACCCGAAACCCGGUGAUCUAGCCAUGGGCAGGUUGAAGGUUGGGUAACACUAACUGGAGGACCGAACCGACUAAUGUUGAAAAAUUAGCGGAUGACCUGUGGCUGGGGGUGAAAGGCCAAUCAAACCGGGAGAUAGCUGGUUCUCCCCGAAAGCUAUUUAGGUAGCGCCUCGUGAAUUCAUCUCCGGGGGUAGAGCACUGUUUCGGCUAGGGGGCCAUCCCGGCUUACCAACCCGAUGCAAACUGCGAAUACCGGAGAAUGUUAUCACGGGAGACACACGGCGGGUGCUAACGUCCGUCGUGAAGAGGGAAACAACCCAGACCGCCAGCUAAGGUCCCAAAGUCAUGGUUAAGUGGGAAACGAUGUGGGAAGGCCCAGACAGCCAGGAUGUUGGCUUAGAAGCAGCCAUCAUUUAAAGAAAGCGUAAUAGCUCACUGGUCGAGUCGGCCUGCGCGGAAGAUGUAACGGGGCUAAACCAUG
RNAcentral lists this ribosomal RNA (1102 nucleotides) under Salmonella enterica subsp. enterica serovar Enteritidis. Its description in RNAcentral is "partial 23S ribosomal RNA". It matches the Rfam family "Bacterial large subunit ribosomal RNA", at positions 50 to 1191 of the family's 2925-position model. Lineage: Bacteria; Pseudomonadati; Pseudomonadota; Gammaproteobacteria; Enterobacterales; Enterobacteriaceae. The record is from RNAcentral.